UUGCGGUGAUGAAACCCAAAUCGGUCGAAAGCAUUUUCCGAUCGGAAAAUGUUUGAUGGGAUGGAAACGAUUUUCCUGAGCGGUUACCUGAGCAA
Elaeis guineensis (African oil palm) is the source of this 95-nucleotide small nucleolar RNA. RefSeq annotates it as small nucleolar RNA snoR128. The record is from RefSeq and is a predicted model, not a curated record. Lineage: Eukaryota; Viridiplantae; Streptophyta; Magnoliopsida; Arecales; Arecaceae.